GAUGAAGAACGCAGUGAAAUGCGAUACGUAGUGUGAAUUGCAGAAUUCAGUGAAUCAUCGAAUCUUUGAACGCCCAUUGCACCUCUCGGUAUUCCGGGAGGUAUGCCUGUUCGAGCGUCAUUUGUACCCUCAAGCUCUGCUUGGUGUUGGGUGUUUGUUCCGCCUCUGUGUGUGAACUCGCCUCAAAACAAUUGGCAGCCGGCGUACUUGUUUCGGAGCGCAGCACAUUUUGCGAUCCAGAUCAACGUACAGCGGCAUCCAAGAAGCCUUAUUUAACGCUCUUGACCUCGGAUCAGGUAGGGAUACCCGCUGAACUUAAGCAUAUCAAUAAGCGGAGGA
This 339-nucleotide unclassified non-coding RNA is filed under the name soil metagenome. RNAcentral describes it as "partial contains 5.8S ribosomal RNA, internal transcribed spacer 2, and large subunit ribosomal RNA". The stretch from base 1 to 120 matches the Rfam family "5.8S ribosomal RNA", at positions 35 to 154 of the family's 154-position model. The record is from RNAcentral.